UCUGAUGACCACAGAGGGGGGUGAGAAAUCUCGCCGGGUUCGAACAGAGCAGCUUGCAGUGAUGAACGGCUGCAGUCCGCCCGAAGGGGUGAGCCACGCAGUGGCGAAUCAUUCUUCCUUCAUCGCCA
This 128-nucleotide small RNA is filed under the name Aeromonas hydrophila. RNAcentral describes it as "RtT sRNA". It matches the Rfam family "RtT RNA". From Rfam's summary of the family: This family represents a bacterial cis-regulatory element known as RtT RNA. The exact function of RtT is unknown although it is thought that it may be involved in changing the cellular response in relation to amino acid starvation. Lineage: Bacteria; Pseudomonadati; Pseudomonadota; Gammaproteobacteria; Aeromonadales; Aeromonadaceae. The record is from RNAcentral.